AAUGCGUAGAGAUCUGGAGGAAUACCGGUGGCGAAGGCGGCCCCCUGGACAAAGACUGACGCUCAGGUGCGAAAGCGUGGGGAGCAAACAGGAUUAGAUACCCUGGUAGUCCACGCCGUAAACGAUGUCUACUUGGAGGUUGUGCCCUUGAGGCGUGGCUUCCGGAGCUAACGCGUUAAGUAGACCGCCUGGGGAGUACGGCCGCAAGGUUAAAACUCAAAUGAAUUGACGGGGGCCCGCACAAGCGGUGGAGCAUGUGGUUUAAUUCGAUGCAACGCGAAGAACCUUACC
RNAcentral lists this ribosomal RNA (291 nucleotides) under Salmonella enterica subsp. enterica serovar Westminster. Its description in RNAcentral is "partial 16S ribosomal RNA". It matches the Rfam family "Bacterial small subunit ribosomal RNA", at positions 685 to 975 of the family's 1533-position model. Lineage: Bacteria; Pseudomonadati; Pseudomonadota; Gammaproteobacteria; Enterobacterales; Enterobacteriaceae. The record is from RNAcentral.